Molecule: unclassified non-coding RNA, 175 nt
Filed under: uncultured Hymenoscyphus
Lineage: Eukaryota; Fungi; Ascomycota; Leotiomycetes; Helotiales; Helotiaceae
Description: sequence contains ITS1
Source: RNAcentral
AUGAGAACUAAGGGUAGUAGUCUCGGCUACUACUCUGAACACUCCACCCUUUGUUUAUAUUACCUUUGUUGCUUUAGCAGGCCCGCUCUCGAGCCGCCGGCACCUGCUGGCCAGUGCCUGCUAAAGAACCUAAAACUCUUGUUAAUAAUAUUGUCUGAGUACUAUAUAAUAGUUA